This 492-nucleotide ribosomal RNA is filed under the name uncultured bacterium. Its description in RNAcentral is "partial 16S ribosomal RNA". It matches the Rfam family "Bacterial small subunit ribosomal RNA", at positions 29 to 507 of the family's 1533-position model. The record is from RNAcentral.
AGUGAACGCUGGCGGUAGGCCUAACACAUGCAAGUCGAACGGCAGCACAGUAAGAGCUUGCUCUUACGGGUGGCGAGUGGCGGACGGGUGAGGAAUACAUCGGAAUCUACUUUUUCGUGGGGGAUAACGUAGGGAAACUUACGCUAAUACCGCAUACGACCUACGGGUGAAAGCAUGGGAUCUUCGGACCUUGCGCGAUUGAAUGAGCCGAUGUCGGAUUAGCUAGUUGGCGGGGUAAAGGCCCACCAAGGCGACGAUCCGUAGCUGGUCUGAGAGGAUGAUCAGCCACACUGGAACUGAGACACGGUCCAGACUCCUACGGGAGGCAGCAGUGGGGAAUAUUGGACAAUGGGCGAAAGCCUGAUCCAGCCAUACCGCGUGGGUGAAGAAGGCCUUCGGGUUGUAAAGCACUUUUGUUGGGAAAGAAAAGCAGCAGGUUAAUACCCCGCUGUUUUGACGGUACCCAAAGAAUAAGCACCGGCUAACUUCGUG